This 71-nucleotide transfer RNA is filed under the name Myxococcales bacterium. RNAcentral describes it as "tRNA-Ala". It matches the Rfam family "tRNA". Rfam says of the family: Transfer RNA (tRNA) molecules are approximately 80 nucleotides in length. Their secondary structure includes four short double-helical elements and three loops (D, anti-codon, and T loops). The record is from RNAcentral. Lineage: Bacteria; Pseudomonadati; Myxococcota; Myxococcia; Myxococcales. RNAcentral also lists the same sequence under 1 other name.
GGGGCGAUAGGUCAACAGGAGACCGCUACGCCCGCAACGUAGAGAUCGGGGUGCGAUUCCCCGUCGCUCCA